CCUACGGGUGGCAGCAGUGGGGAAUAUUGGACAAUGGGGGAAACCCUGAUCCAGCGACGCCGCGUGAGUGAAGAAGUAUUUCGGUACGUAAAGCUCUAUCAGCAGGAAAGAAAAUGACGGUACCUGACUAAGAAGCCCCGGCAAACUACGUGCCAGCCGCCGCGGUAAUACGUAGGGGGCAAGCGUUAUCCGGAUUUACUGGGGGAAAAGGGAGCGCAGACGGCUGUGCACGUCUGGGGUGAAAGGCGGGGCCCAACCCCCGGACUGCUCUGGAAACUGUAAAGCUGGAGUGCAGGAGAGGUAAGCGGAAUUCCUAGUGUAGCGGUGAAAUGCGUAGAUAUUAGGAGGAACACCAGUGGCGAAGGCGGCUUACUGGACUGCAACUGACGUUGAGGCUCGAAAGCGUGGGAAGCAAACAGGAUUAGAUACCCCAGUAGUC
This 439-nucleotide ribosomal RNA is filed under the name uncultured bacterium. Its description in RNAcentral is "partial 16S ribosomal RNA". It matches the Rfam family "Bacterial small subunit ribosomal RNA", at positions 338 to 795 of the family's 1533-position model. The record is from RNAcentral.